RNAcentral lists this ribosomal RNA (491 nucleotides) under uncultured bacterium. Its description in RNAcentral is "partial 16S ribosomal RNA". It matches the Rfam family "Bacterial small subunit ribosomal RNA", at positions 28 to 507 of the family's 1533-position model. The record is from RNAcentral.
GAUGAACGCUGGCUACAGGCUUAACACAUGCAAGUCGAGGGGAAACGACGGGGAAGCUUGCUUCCCCGGGCGUCGACCGGCGCACGGGUGAGUAACGCGUAUCCAACCUGCCUCUGACUGAGGGAUAACCCGUCGAAAGUCGGCCUAAUACCUCAUUGCAUCUUCUGCGGGCCUCCAACAACGAUUCAAGAUUUCGUCGUGCAGGGAUGGGGAUGCGUCUGAUUAGCUUGUUGGCGGGUUACCGGCCCACCAAGGCUUCGAUCAGUAGGGGUUCUGAGAGUAAGGUGCCCGAGAGUGGGACUGAGCAACGGGCGAAACUGCUACGGGAGGCAGCAGUGAGGAAUAUUGGACUAGGGGCGGGAGCAUGAACCAGCCAAGUAGGGUGCAGGAUGACGGCGUUAGGGGUGGUAAACUGCUGUUAGGCGGGGAUAAAGGGAGGGACGUGACCGUCAGUGCAGGUACCGCAUGAAUAAGGACCGGCUAAUUCCGUG